This is a long non-coding RNA of Betta splendens (Siamese fighting fish), 2553 nucleotides long. NCBI's taxonomy places the organism in Eukaryota, Metazoa, Chordata, Actinopteri, Anabantiformes, Osphronemidae. The record is from Ensembl.
GUUCAAGAUGAAUCAGAAAUAAUGGCUGGCAGUAAAUCCUAUUAAGUCUUCAGCAAACAAAUCAUCUAAUGUCACUGCGAGAUUCUUUUCUCCAAUAAUUUAAAAAUUCCUCCGAACACGAGGUCAUUCACAGGUUUCUCUGACACGUCUCAGUUCAGCGUCUGGAUGUGACGCCGCAGAGACGCUCGUUACGCAGCAUUUCACAUUUCCCCUGCUUUCAUCACUUCAUGUGUUCAUUCAUUUAGUAACAGGGGUGAAGGUGUGAGGAGCAGACGACGCCUCCGUUCAGCAGCAGUUCCACCGCGCUUCACACCUGCACAGUUUAGAACCAGGAUCAAGUAGAACCAAACGCUGGGUUGCAGACUGGACCAGGCCCAGGACCAGGACCAGGACCAGGACCGGGACCAGGCCUAGGACCAAGCCCAGGACCAAGCCCGGGACCAGGAACAGGCCUAGGACCAGGACCAGGACCAGGACCAGGCCUAGGACCAAGCCCAGGACCAGGACCAAGACCAGGCCUAGGACCAGGACCAGGACCAGGACCAGGACCAGGACCAGGACCAAGCCCGGGACCAGGAACAGGCCUAGGACCAGGACCAGGACCAGGACCAGAACCAGGCCCAGGCCCAGGCCUAGGACCAGGACCAGGACCAGGCCCAGGCCCAGGACCAGGCCCAGGACCAGGACCAGGACCAGGCCUAGGACCAGGACCAGGACCAAGCCCGGGACCAGGAACAGGCCUAGGACCAGGACCAGGACCAGGACCAGGCCUAGGACCAAGCCCAGGACCAGGACCAAGACCAGGCCUAGGACCAGGACCAGGACCAGGACCAGGACCAGGACCAGGCCCAGGACCAGGACCAGGACCAGGCCUAGGACCAGGACCAGGACCAGGACCAAGCCCGGGACCAGGAACAGGCCUAGGACCAGGACCAGGACCAGGACCAGGACCAGAACCAGGCCCAGGCCCAGGCCUAGGACCAGGACCAGGCCCAGGACCAGGCCCAGGCCUAGGACCAGGACCGGGACCGGGACCGGGACCGGGACCGGGACCAGGACCAGGACCAGGCCUAGGACCAGGCCCAGGCCUAGGACCAGGCCCAAGCCCAGGACCAGGACCAGGACCGGGACCAGGCCCGGGACCAGGACCAGGCCUAGGACCAGGACCAGGACCAGGACCAGGAUCAGGACCAGGCCUAGGACCAAGCCCAGGACCAGGACCAGGACCAGGACCAGGCCUAGGACCAGGACCAGGACCAGGACCAGGACCAGGACCAGGACCGGGACCAGGACCAGGCCUAGGACCAGGCCCAGGCCUAGGACCAGGCCCAAGCCCAGGACCAGGACCAGGACCGGGACCAGGCCCGGGACCAGGACCAGGCCUAGGACCAGGACCAGGACCAGGACCAGGACCAGGACCAGGAUCAGGACCAGGCCUAGGAUCAAGCCCAGGACCAGGACCAGGACCAGGACCAGGACCAGGACCAGGCCUAGGACCAGGACCAGGACCGGGACCAGGACCAGGACCGGGACCAGGACCAGGCCUAGGACCAGGACCAGGACCAGGACCAGGACCAGGACCAGGCCCGGGACCAGGACCAGGCCUAGGACCAGGACCAGGACCAGGACCAAGCCCGGGACCAGGAACAGGCCUAGGACCAGGACCAGGACCAGGACCAGGACCAGGACCAGGACCAGGACCAGGACCAGGCCCAGGACCAGGACCAGGACCAGAACCAGGCCCAGGCCCAGGCCCAGGCCUAGGACCAGGACCGGGACCGGGACCGAGACCAGGACCAGGCCUAGGACCAGGCCCAGGCCUAGGACCAGGCCCAAGCCCAGGACCAGGACCGGGACCAGGCCCGGGACCAGGACCAGGCCCUAGGACCAGGACCAGGCCCAGGCCCAGGCCCAGGCCUAGGACCAGGACCAGGACCAGGACCAGGACCAGGACCAGGCCCAGGACCAGGCCCAGGCCUAGGACCAGGACCGGGACCGGGACCGGGACCGGGACCGGGACCGGGACCAGGACCAGGCCUAGGACCAGGCCCAGGCCUAGGACCAGGCCCAAGCCCAGGACCAGGACCAGGACCGGGACCAGGCCCGGGACCAGGACCAGGCCUAGGACCAGGCCUAGGACCAGGACCAGGACCAGGAUCAGGACCAGGCCUAGGAUCAAGCCCAGGACCAGGACCAGGACCAGGCCUAGUACCAGGACCAGGACCAGGACCAGGACCGGGACCAGGCCUAGGACCAGGCCUAGGACCAGGCCUAGGACCAGGCCCAGGACCAGGACCAGGACCGGGACCAGGACCAGGCCUAGGACCAGGCCCAGGACCAGGACCAGGACCAGGACCAGGACCGGGACCAGGACCAGGACCAGGCCUAGGACCAGGACCAGGACCAGGACCAGGACCAGGACCAGGACCAGGACCAGGACCAGGCCUAGGACCAGGACCAGGCCCGGUUCUGCAGCUCCAAUCACUUGGGAAGCGCAGCCACCGGAGUGUUCGUGUCUGAUCCUCGCCAAAGUCGCUGCUGCAUAAAUUGUGC